This 70-nucleotide transfer RNA is filed under the name Trigomphus carus. RNAcentral's name for it is "tRNA-Trp". It matches the Rfam family "tRNA". From Rfam's summary of the family: Transfer RNA (tRNA) molecules are approximately 80 nucleotides in length. Their secondary structure includes four short double-helical elements and three loops (D, anti-codon, and T loops). The record is from RNAcentral. Lineage: Eukaryota; Metazoa; Arthropoda; Insecta; Odonata; Gomphidae.
AAGGCUUUAUGUUAAAUAAAACAAAUAACCUUCAAAGUUAUAAAUAAAAGUUUAAAUCUUUUAAGCCUUA